Small nuclear RNA from Bubalus bubalis (water buffalo), 104 nucleotides. NCBI's taxonomy places the organism in Eukaryota, Metazoa, Chordata, Mammalia, Artiodactyla, Bovidae. The record is from RefSeq and is a predicted model, not a curated record.
GUGCUCGCUUUGGCAGCACAUACACUAAAAUCGGAACGAUACAGAGAUUAGCGUGGCCCCUGCACAGGGAUGGCAUGCCAAUUCACGAAACGGUCCAUAUUUUU